AAUCAACGCUGGCGGCGUGCCUAACACAUGCAAGUCGAACGCGAAAGCCCCUUCGGGGGUAAGUAGAGUGGCGUCCGGGUGAGUAACACGUAGGUAAUCUACCUUCGGGUGGGGAAUAACCAGUCGAAAGAUUGGCUAAUACCGCAUAAUGCAGCGGCACCUAAUGGUGAUUAGUUGUUAAAGCGGGGGAUCGUAAGACCUCGCGCCUGAAGAGGAGCCUGCGGCAGAUUAGCAGUUGGUGAGGUAAUGGCUCACCAAGGCUUCGAUCUGUAGCUGGUCUGAGAGGACGGCCAGCCACACUGGCACUGACACACGGGCCAGACUCCUACGGGAGGCAGCAGUGGGGAAUUUUGGGCAAUGGGCGAAAGCCUGACCCAGCAACGCCGCGUGAGGGAGGAAAUCCUUCGGGAUGUAAACCUCACAAGCAAGGGAAGAGAGCUCAGGGCCGAAUAAGCUUUGAGUCCGACGGUACCUUGCGUAAGCCACGGCUAACUACGU
This 498-nucleotide ribosomal RNA is filed under the name uncultured bacterium. RNAcentral's name for it is "bacterial SSU rRNA". It matches the Rfam family "Bacterial small subunit ribosomal RNA", at positions 32 to 506 of the family's 1533-position model. The record is from RNAcentral.